UACAGAGGUCCCGAGCGUUGUUCGGAUUCAUUGGGCGUAAAGCGCACGUAGGCGGUCCAGCAAGCGGGGAGUGAAAGCCCUCGGCUUAACCGAGGAAGUGCUUUCCGAACUACUGGACUUGAGUACUGAAGAGGGUCGCGGAAUUCCCGGUGUAGAGGUGAAAUUCGUAGAUAUCGGGAGGAACACCAGUGGCGAAGGCGGCGACCUGGGCAGAUACUGACGCUGAGGUGCGAAAGCGUGGGGAGCAAACAGG
This 253-nucleotide ribosomal RNA is filed under the name uncultured bacterium. Its description in RNAcentral is "partial 16S ribosomal RNA". It matches the Rfam family "Bacterial small subunit ribosomal RNA", at positions 524 to 776 of the family's 1533-position model. The record is from RNAcentral.